This 3150-nucleotide long non-coding RNA is filed under the name Triticum aestivum (bread wheat). Its description in RNAcentral is "long non-coding RNA (TAES_LNC016159)". Lineage: Eukaryota; Viridiplantae; Streptophyta; Magnoliopsida; Poales; Poaceae. The record is from RNAcentral.
UCCCGCAAAAAAAAAUUACACAUAUCUCAUAUGCUUGUAAAGUAUAGAUGACUAACGUAUAAUCAUGGUUGCCAAGUUGAAAAGAAGAUCUUGCAUAUGGACUGACAUAUUCUAAACACAGUAUUACAAUCUCCAUCACAACGGUUCAGAGAUGAAUGGCAGGCAUAGAAAAGUAAACUGAAAAUUGUUGCAACUCACGUCUGACAAAACUCGAAAGUCAAAACUUUUCACCAACAGAGGUAUAUAUAGGGGAGCCAAUAUAUACAUGGAUCAGUGUGCAGUGCAUGUAGUAAUUAAACACAGGGCAAAAUGUCAAUCUAACCUGUGCAGCGCAUGCGAGAUCAAGGCGCCCGCACGACAACGUGAUUCAGUGGUCAGGCCACCGGCCUCCUCGGUCCUGUAGCCUUUUGUGGUGUCUGUAGAGAUCGUGUGGGCAGCGACACCACGAUGCGCUGAAGAUGGUCACCUUGAGCCAAGGGCGCUACAACGCUGUGGUCCUUAGAGGUAGCGACACCACAAUUUAGUAUUUCAAAUAAAUGUCCUACCCAGUCAAAGUAAGGGAAAAUUAAUUCAAAGCAAAGACGAAACAAAAUUUUGGGACAUUGGUAAACAAGGUAAAACAUGAAGAUAUAUCAGCUAAAAUCUUUACGUCCACAUUGGGACAUUGGUAAACAAGGUAAAGCAUGAAGAUAUAUCAGCUAGAAUCUGACCUCCACAUUGCAGUAAAAAGUACCGAGAAACAAUGUAAAACAUGACGAAGAUCAGCUAGAAGUUGUACCUCCGCAUCGAGAUGCUGACAAAAUACUCGUCAACGGAAGUGCAGGGACCUAUAUCAAGUAUGGUGCUUGUGCAUAAGUAACACAAUCAGGUAAAGAGAAAUUGAAACAAAAUGCCAUAUGUUAGUUUAGGAUCCUCCAGCCAUUAAUUUCUGAAGUACAUUGUAUAUAAAAUAGAACUGUUUCUAUUUUUCUAAGCCCCUCCACUGAAUGCUUUAUUAUUAUAGCAAACAUGCCCGUGCGUUGCAACAGGAGAAAAAAAAUCAUACGCCUCUAGCCUAAUAAGCAUUUCUCAAGCCCCUUCUCUGGUCCAUCUCUAUUUAAAGACGAAACCUCAUUUUAGAAAAAGUAGCUAUUCUAUAGUUAUUCGGUUAGAUAAUAACUGGUUUCUUGCUCUAAAAAUAAUUUAACAGGUUAAUUAUGUCCCUUUGAAUAGUAAUGCUCACCUUUAAUACUUGGAUUGGACGGUGAACUUCAGAAACUCACCUCAUCUCUUCUUCUUCAGAAUGUCCAUCCCUUGCUAGUCUCAUGAAGAUGAGGUCUCAACAUUGUACCUGUAGAAAGAAAAUAUCAUGAUUAGUUUCGGACAAAAAUUGUUGGGUAAAGGAGAUAUGUUGCUCUUCUUUUCAUCAUUACGGAGUUAUGCAUCAGUAGAAAGAACCCAUAUCCCUAUGCAUGUCCUUGCUCAUUAAUGGAUUUUUUAGAUAGAGAAAGGAGAGCACAGACAUAAUAUGUUUUUCUAGAGAACAAUGCAGAUAAUAUUUAAGGAAACACUAACAAUUAACAUGGCAUAGGGCCGAGCUGAAACUUUACAAAACCUAAUGCAUGAGAAUAUGAGAUAGUACAUGAAUAGUAGGGCCAAGCUGCAUAGCUACAAGUUUCACUAAAGAUACAGUCUGGAUGAUAUCUCUACUCCAAGAGCAUCUACUGACAGAAAGAGGCUAUAAAACUUACCUCCAGCAGGCGAGCGGGCUGCAACCUCAAGAGCCUCUAGCACCCUGAUUGCAGUAAACCAGCUGUUUGGCCGUGCCAGCAUGUCCCAGCCUCCCAGUCACCACCCCGUGUGGUACCUCUACUGUACUGAGAAGCACACAACGACAUACCUGUCACACUCAAAUCGAGCACAUGGACUAACUGAAAUUAUUGAUGCACAUCUCGUCAAACAACUCGACAGUAUGAGGCUUACAGGAAUGCCGUGUGCUGGGUGAGCAAGAAAGGAUGUGGCAUGCUCAUACAGUGGGUCAUCCGGCAAAAUAUCUAUUGUGAAAUUUAAGCAGAAAAUCAAUAUGUAGUUGUGUUAUUUCUAGUUCAGUGCAUAAACUAAUUUAUCUCUCAAAUAAAACCAAUGAUUAACUGUGUGAAACAACAUUUAGAUAGAAAACAUUAUAUCUCAAACAUUGUACCAGUUUGUGGUUUAAUCUAUCAACAAAACCAAUGGUAUAUGCUGCUCCCUUAUUGCUAGUAUCAUCACAUUGCGGAAGGGGCAAAUUACUAACUGAUAAACACUGUGUACCGGACAACAAUGGCAUUCAGAAAAAUCCUUUGCCUUCACGUGUGUGCAGUACAGGACAUAUGUGCGAUUUGUCCCAAUCAUGCUCCAAGGAUCAAUGUGAUUUUCAGACUAAAUAAAAGGACAUGCAACUUCUUUGUUCUUCCAGGAACUGCAUAUAUGAAUAUAUGCAAGGCACGGUGAUUUCUUCUAAUGAAAAUCGGAGAGGGAGCUCUCUUUAUAAAAAAAAGGAACUGAAUAUAUGUCAAUUCUAGAACUUAAAUUUGCCGCAGGUGAUUACUUUGCUCCCCAUGAAAAUCAUUGUAAAAUUGUACCCUUUUAAACUAACACUUCUCCUAUUUGGAUAGAGUGCUCCAUCUCUUGGAAUUCAUCCAAACUUGUAUGUAGGCAAUUAGCUAAGGUCAUACAAUGCAUGCUUACCUGCCGUCCAGUGGCUGUUGCUGGAGUACUCUGGAGGCCUGCGAGCAUGGAGGAGAACCAGAAGUGUUAUCUACAGCGCCAAAGCACCUACAACAAAGCAAACACGCAUCGCCUCCUCGCGACCCAAGCACCACAACGAUGACAGAGAGAAGAACGUCCGCGCUUACCUGGCGAAGAUGGACGACGACCCCUGCGCCGGCGCAUCAACCUCGGCCUAGUACAGGCUGGCGACGUGGAUCUGCAUCCCUGCACCUAUGGACGGGUCGGAGCUCUCCCGCCGCACCGCCGGUGAGGCUUGUGUAGAAGGCACCGCCGGUGAGGCUUGUGUGAAGGGCGCCGCCAGCCUCAGCUCCCGUCUUGGAUCGAUCCCCUCCUCCUUCCCUCGUGCGCCACACCAGGAGAGGAGCGCCGCGCCCCAGCUCCUCUUCAUCGAGCCGCCUCCUG